Molecule: ribosomal RNA, 200 nt
Filed under: uncultured eukaryote
Lineage: Eukaryota
Description: partial 18S ribosomal RNA
Rfam family: Eukaryotic small subunit ribosomal RNA
Source: RNAcentral
CUCCAAUAGCGUAUACUAAAGUUGUUGCAGUUAAAAAGCUCGUAGUUGAAUUUCUGGUCUCGGACAUCGGUCUGCCUCGAACGAGGUACGUACCAGUGUCUGAAUCCAUCCUCGGGGAAAACAUGUCUGGCAUCAGUUGUUGGGCAUGGGAUCCUCGUCAUUUACUGUGAGCAAAUAGAGUGUUCAAGCAGGCUUAUGCC